This 1023-nucleotide long non-coding RNA is filed under the name Gossypium barbadense (sea-island cotton). RNAcentral describes it as "long non-coding RNA (GBAR_LNC004451)". Lineage: Eukaryota; Viridiplantae; Streptophyta; Magnoliopsida; Malvales; Malvaceae. The record is from RNAcentral.
UUUGAAACUGAUUUUUUAAAAAAUAAAAAAUAAAAAAUUCUCUGAGAGAGGGGAGAGGAAAGGCCCUCCGGGCUGUGGCCUCCGUCAGGCCAAGCUCCGGUCAUCGGGCAUACACGCGCCCACGCACCACCUCUCACACCGCCACACGCGGCUGUUGGUGGUCAAAAAUCUCGAUUUCAGGCAAAAAAUAGAAAGGUAAAGGAUCUCUUUUUAUUUUCGUCAUUCGGAAACAAAAAGAAAAAGGUUAAUAUAUAUGUCAAAACAAGAAAUAGAGAACAUAAUGAUGUAAAAACUAAAAAAUACCUUAAAAAAACAAAACUAUAACUUUAUUUCUUGAAUAUGCGUUUUCUUGUCUCUGUGUAUGUAUCAGCGUUAGUAUUCUUACAGAUUUGAGAAAAGGCUUUAUAGCCUUAAUCUACUACCUAUUUUGGAAAGAAAUCUGUUCUAAUCUAUUUGCUGCAAUUUUGCUUUGAUUUCUUUCCUUUUCUUGCAGGUGACCGCGAGGAUCUCGGUGAUUCAAGGGCCGCUGGCGUGAUGAAGCGCCGAUGGUGGCACAAUCCAAGGCUAGGACUACUACGGGGCAAUGAUCUCGGCAGCGAAAAGGUUGCUGGAACAGAGUCGAUCGGGCCUUGAUUCAGGAGCUGGACGGUCGUGAGAGAGACAAGCUUCUGGACAACACAUUAAUGGCGUGUCAAUAGUGCAUUGAUGGCCUCGAUUUAGGGGGUUGAACAGAUGCUCCCCGAGGCUUCCAAAAGAUGCUGCGGCGCUGCAGUCUUCAGGAAACCCUAGGAUUUCCUGUUUCCCUUAAGUCAUUUGGGCCUUUUGGGCUGCUUUUAGAUUUGGGUUAGCCUGGUAGAUCAAGUGUUUUUAGGGGUCUGCUAUGUAAUGGGUUUUAAAAUUUGGGCCCGAUGUGGGGUUUGGGUCGGUCUGUUAUGUCUAGACAUUGGGCCCCAAUGUUUGGGCUUUGUAACCUGGACUUUUUUAAUGGACUGUUUAAUAAAUAAAUAAUUAUUUAUUUUCUUA